RNAcentral lists this ribosomal RNA (254 nucleotides) under uncultured bacterium. RNAcentral's name for it is "partial 16S ribosomal RNA". It matches the Rfam family "Bacterial small subunit ribosomal RNA", at positions 524 to 776 of the family's 1533-position model. The record is from RNAcentral.
UACGUAGGGUGCAAGCGUUAAUCGGAAUUACUGGGCGUAAAGCGUGCGCAGGCGGUUUUGUAAGACUGUCGUGAAAUCCCCGGGCUCAACCUGGGAAUGGCGAUGGUGACUGCAAGGCUAGAGUUUGGCAGAGGGGGGUAGAAUUCCACGUGUAGCAGUGAAAUGCGUAGAUAUGUGGAGGAACACCGAUGGCGAAGGCAGCCCCCCUGGGUCAAAACUGACGCUCAUGCACGAAAGCGUGGGGAGCAAACAGG